This is a small nucleolar RNA of Drosophila melanogaster (fruit fly), 75 nucleotides long. Lineage: Eukaryota; Metazoa; Arthropoda; Insecta; Diptera; Drosophilidae. The record is from Ensembl.
UUUUUUGUGAUGAAAUCGUUAGAUAGGGACGUCUGAUAUCUGUGACUGAUUUAUCUCGAUAGUAGAUCUGAUUUU